RNAcentral lists this ribosomal RNA (196 nucleotides) under uncultured bacterium. Its description in RNAcentral is "partial 16S ribosomal RNA". It matches the Rfam family "Bacterial small subunit ribosomal RNA", at positions 336 to 526 of the family's 1533-position model. The record is from RNAcentral.
CUCCUACGGGAGGCAGCAGUAAGGAAUAUUGGACAAUGGGGGAAACCCUGAUCCAGCGACGCCGCGUGUGUGAAGAAGGCCUGCGGGUUGUAAAGCACUUUUAGUGGGGACAAAAAGCUACGGAUUAAUACUCUGUGGUCUUGAUUUAACCCAAGAAAAGCACCGGCUAACUCUGUGCCAGCAGCCGCGGUAAUAC